RNAcentral lists this ribosomal RNA (488 nucleotides) under uncultured bacterium. RNAcentral describes it as "partial 16S ribosomal RNA". It matches the Rfam family "Bacterial small subunit ribosomal RNA", at positions 28 to 507 of the family's 1533-position model. The record is from RNAcentral.
GACGAACGCUGGCGGCGUGCUUAACACAUGCAAGUCGAACGGAAAGGCCCUGCUUUUGUGGGGUGCUCGAGUGGCGAACGGGUGAGUAACACGUGAGUAACCUGCCCUUGACUUUGGGAUAACUUCAGGGAACUGGGGCUAAUACCGGAUAGGAGCUCCUGCUGCAUGGUGGGGGUUGGAAAGUUUCGGCGGUUGGGGAUGGACUCGCGGCUUAUCAGCUUGUUGGUGGGGUAGUGGCUUACCAAGGCUUUGACGGGUAGCCGGCCUGAGAGGGUGAUCGGCCACAUGAGAGCGGGGCCACGGUCCAGGGUCCUACGGGAGGCAGCAGUGGGGAAUGGUCGGCAGUGGGCGCAAGCAUGGCCCAGCCAUCCCGCGUGGGUGGCGGAGGCCUUCGGGGUGUAAAGCCCUUUUGUGGGGAAAGAAAAGCAGCAGGUUAAUACCCCGCUGGUCUGACGGUACCCAAAGAAUAAGCACCGGCUAACUUCGUG